Molecule: ribosomal RNA, 253 nt
Filed under: uncultured bacterium
Lineage: Bacteria
Description: partial 16S ribosomal RNA
Rfam family: Bacterial small subunit ribosomal RNA
Source: RNAcentral
UACAGAGGUCCCAAGCGUUGUUCGGAUUCACUGGGCGUAAAGGGUGCGUGGGCGGUCGGGUAAGUCUGAUGUGAAAUCUCACAGCUUAACUGUGAAACUGCAUUGGAUACUAUUCGGCUUGAGAGUUGGAGGGGGGACUGGAAUUCUUGGUGUAGCAGUGAAAUGCGUAGAUAUCAAGAGGAACACCAGUGGCGAAGGCGAGUCCCUGGACAACUUCUGACGCUGAGGCACGAAAGCUAGGGGAGCAAACAGG